RNAcentral lists this transfer RNA (97 nucleotides) under Acropora cervicornis. RNAcentral describes it as "tRNA-Thr". The record is from RNAcentral. Lineage: Eukaryota; Metazoa; Cnidaria; Anthozoa; Scleractinia; Acroporidae.
GGCUUCGUAGCUCAGUAAAAUAAUAAUAAAAAUUAAAUAAUGGUUAGAGCGUCGCACCGGUAUUGCAAGGUCACGGGUUCAAACCCCUUUGAAGUCC